CCUACGGGGGGCAGCAGUGAGGAAUAUUGGUCAAUGGGCGAGAGCCUGAACCAGCCAAGUCGCGUGAGGGAAGACGGUCCUAUGGAUUGUAAACCUCUUUUGUCGGGGAGCAAAAAGGCCUCGUGAGGCCACAAGUGAGAGUACCCGAAGAAAAAGCAUCGGCUAACUCCGUGCCAGCAGCCGCGGUAAUACGGAGGAUGCGAGCGUUAUUCGGAUUUAUUGGGUGUAAAGGGUGCGUAGGCGGACUGGAAAGUCAGCGGUAAAAUCGGGAGGCUGAACCUUGGGACUGCUUUUGAAACUGAGUAGCUAGAGUGCAGGAGAGGUAAGCGGAAUUCCUAGUGUAGCGGUGAAAGGCGUAGAUAUUAGGAGGAACACCAGUGGCGAAGGCGGCUUACUGGACUGUAACUGACGUUGAGGCUCGAAAGCGUGGGGAGCAAACAGGAUUAGAUACCCUUGUAGUC
RNAcentral lists this ribosomal RNA (461 nucleotides) under uncultured bacterium. RNAcentral describes it as "partial 16S ribosomal RNA". It matches the Rfam family "Bacterial small subunit ribosomal RNA", at positions 338 to 795 of the family's 1533-position model. The record is from RNAcentral.